AUGACCUUUCAAAGUAGAACCGGUGAGUGUUCGAGAAUACAAGCUAGUGCCCAGAAAUUAUUAGCAACACACCACUCAUUGAGUAACAAAGACUUCAACUUGCUAAACAAAGGGCACCAUCUUAAAUCACUUCUGAAAAUACGCUGCACAAAGUACAGGCGAGAAGAUCAUUCAAUCUUUAUAGUGAAUGAGCACGCAUUUGGCACUGUCAUUGCCAGCAUUAUCUACCAUACCAUAACAACCAUGACAGUAUUCAUCUUCACAGUUACCAGAUCAUCACUAUCUCGGUGGGGUCUGACAAAUGCUGCAAUUAAUGACGGCAUGCUUUCCAGAAAUGGAACUCUGCCCCAACAAUCAUCAAGACGGAGCGUAAUGAGACCAGAAAGAUUGAGCUCUGUCAAGUGCCUCGAGAAGAGUGAGAAGCCAUCGUCCAUUUCAAUGUAUGCAUGCAUAUUUUUUAUUGUAAGCACCUGGACUUGGCACAUUAGAGCAUACAUGACCCACAUGAUGGCACAAUGGAAUGGAUUACUGUCGCCGGACAUUAUCAUCCAGUGUGCACAUGAAUUGAUUUUGAUCUCAAACUUGUGUAGAGGCGAGCUGCCACGGAAGAGCACUAGAUGGUUGACAAGCUUGAUGAAGUCCUUGGGGCUCCUCCAUCUCUCUGUAUUGGUGAUGCACAGGAUGGGCGUCAAUUUCCAGAGAUGGCGCCAGCGCCGGGACAGGACACAGGUCUUCACGGCAUCCUCGGCCGGCAGGAAGGACAGAAUGUGCUGGAGGAGAGCAUCCGGGAGGACGUCGAUCCCGUCCUCUUCGCUGGCCUCAGCCAUUCUCUUGCUCCUCAAGCUCUUUUGCUUAGGAGACAUUCCGUCGAACAGGUGGCGGGCGACGCGGGCACUACCGCGCAAGAAGCGAAGAGCCGACUCACCAGGUGCAAUGCGAGGUCCUCGCUCAAUCAAUCAGACGCGCGGCGCCCGCUCGUGCCGCACGUGGGGAGGGGGACGCGGCUGCAGUAGCGCGGAUCUGAGGAAGAUUCGCCGGAGACGGCGGGGUCGUGGCGGUGGAUGUAGCCAAAGACACGCUUUCCGGGCUCACUGCUCUUCUUCCACUCUUUUUGGUUGCCUUAGGGCCUGCGCUAGCUACUCCCGAAAUCAGAAGCUUCUCAAAUAAUUCAGCUUUU
Molecule: long non-coding RNA, 1177 nt
Filed under: Oryza sativa Indica Group (long-grained rice)
Lineage: Eukaryota; Viridiplantae; Streptophyta; Magnoliopsida; Poales; Poaceae
Description: lncRNA OsZS97_11G006840
Source: RNAcentral